Molecule: ribosomal RNA, 497 nt
Filed under: uncultured bacterium
Lineage: Bacteria
Description: partial 16S ribosomal RNA
Rfam family: Bacterial small subunit ribosomal RNA
Source: RNAcentral
GAUGAACGCUGGCGGCGUGCCUAAUACAUGCAAGUCGAGCGAACAGACGAGGAGCUUGCUCCUCUGACGUUAGCGGCGGACGGGUGAGUAACACGUGGAUAACCUACCUAUAAGACCGGGAUAACUUCGGGAAACCGGAGCUAAUACCGGAUAAUAUAUUGAACCGCAUGGUUCAAUAGUGAAAGACGGUUUUGCUGUCACUUAUAGAUGGAUCCGCGCCGCAUUAGCUAGUUGGUAAGGUAACGGCUUACCAAGGCGACGAUGCGUAGCCGACCUGAGAGGGUGAUCGGCCACACUGGAACUGAGACACGGUCCAGACUCCUACGGGAGGCAGCAGUAGGGAAUCUUCCGCAAUGGGCGAAAGCCUGACGGAGCAACGCCGCGUGAGUGAUGAAGGUCUUCGGAUCAUAAAACUCUGUUAUUAGGGAAGAACAAAUGUGUAAGUAACUAUGCACGUCUUGACGGUACCUAAUCAGAAAGCCACGGCUAACUACGUG